RNAcentral lists this ribosomal RNA (497 nucleotides) under uncultured bacterium. RNAcentral's name for it is "partial 16S ribosomal RNA". It matches the Rfam family "Bacterial small subunit ribosomal RNA", at positions 28 to 507 of the family's 1533-position model. The record is from RNAcentral.
GACGAACGCUGGCGGCGUGCCUAAUACAUGCAAGUAGAACGCUGAAGAGAGGAGCUUGCUCUUCUUGGAUGAGUUGCGAACGGGUGAGUAACGCGUAGGUAACCUGCCUUGUAGCGGGGGAUAACUAUUGGAAACGAUAGCUAAUACCGCAUAACAAUGGAUGACACAUGUCAUUUAUUUGAAAGGGGCAAUUGCUCCACUACAAGAUGGACCUGCGUUGUAUUAGCUAGUAGGUGAGGUAAUGGCUCACCUAGGCGACGAUACAUAGCCGACCUGAGAGGGUGAUCGGCAACACUGGGACUGAGACACGGCCCAGACUCCGACGGGAGGCAGCAGUAGGGAAUCUUCGGCAAUGGGGGCAACCCUGACCGAGCAACGCCGCGUGAGUGAAGAAGGUUUUCGGAUCGUAAAGCUCUGUUGUAAGUCGAGAACGGGUGUGAGAGUGGAAAGUUCACACUGUGACGGUAGCUUACCAGAAAGGGACGGCUAACUACGUG